Molecule: ribosomal RNA, 253 nt
Filed under: uncultured bacterium
Lineage: Bacteria
Also listed under: 1 other name
Description: partial 16S ribosomal RNA
Rfam family: Bacterial small subunit ribosomal RNA
Source: RNAcentral
UACGUAGGUGGCAAGCGUUGUCCGGAAUUAUUGGGCGUAAAGCGCGCGCAGGCGGUCUCUUAAGUCUGAUGUGAAAGCCCACGGCUCAACCGUGGAGGGUCAUUGGAAACUGGGGGACUUGAGUGCAGAAGAGGAAAGCGGAAUUCCACGUGUAGCGGUGAAAUGCGUAGAGAUGUGGAGGAACACCAGUGGCGAAGGCGGCUUUCUGGUCUGUAACUGACGCUGAGGCGCGAAAGCGUGGGGAGCAAACAGG